GCCCCCGUAGCUCAGUUGGAAGAGCGCAGGUUUCGUAGCCCGGAGGUCGCCAGUUCGAAUCUGGCCGGGGGAG
Molecule: transfer RNA, 73 nt
Filed under: Rugosibacter sp.
Lineage: Bacteria; Pseudomonadati; Pseudomonadota; Betaproteobacteria; Nitrosomonadales; Sterolibacteriaceae
Description: tRNA-Thr
Rfam family: tRNA
About the family: Transfer RNA (tRNA) molecules are approximately 80 nucleotides in length. Their secondary structure includes four short double-helical elements and three loops (D, anti-codon, and T loops).
Source: RNAcentral